Non-coding RNA from Bos taurus (domestic cattle), 57 nucleotides. NCBI's taxonomy places the organism in Eukaryota, Metazoa, Chordata, Mammalia, Artiodactyla, Bovidae. The record is from Rfam.
UGGCUCAGAGGUUAAAGUGUCUGCCUCCAAUGCAGGAGACCCGGGUUCAAUCCCUGG